Molecule: long non-coding RNA, 506 nt
Organism: Zalophus californianus (California sea lion)
Lineage: Eukaryota; Metazoa; Chordata; Mammalia; Carnivora; Otariidae
Exons: 3
Source: RefSeq, a predicted model, not a curated record
GCAGCAGCUGGCGCAGGGCGUCCAGCUCGGCGCGCAGCUCCGCGCGCAGCGCCUCCAGCCCCACGCCCAGCUCGGCGCGCACAGCCGCCAGGCCCUCCUGCAGCCGCCGCUCGCUCACCUCCAGGACGCCGGCCGGGCCAAGAAAUAAGAAUUCGAACCAAAGAUUCAAAUCUGAAGCAAAUUUUUUCUGAAGACUUUUCCCCCUGGACCAGCACAAAAGCUCAAGUCAGAUGACAUUUUGUAAUCCCCAAGUGAAGUCUCAGAUUUUGGUGACUACUUAGGGUGUCACUGGAGAUUUCUCCUGAUGUACAACCUAUUGAUCCCACAAGUCUACGCAUUACCCAGUGCUCACCACAAUAAAUAUGGUUACCAUCUGUCUUAACUAUAUGUCAUUACAACAUUAUUGACUAUAUUCUCUAUGUUGUACUUUUCAUCUCCAUGACUUAUUUAUUUUAUAACUGUGUUAUUAUGAUAUUAUUAACUAUAUUCUCUACGCUGUGCUUUUC